RNAcentral lists this ribosomal RNA (253 nucleotides) under uncultured bacterium. RNAcentral describes it as "partial 16S ribosomal RNA". It matches the Rfam family "Bacterial small subunit ribosomal RNA", at positions 524 to 776 of the family's 1533-position model. The record is from RNAcentral.
UACGUAGGCAGCAAGCGUUGUUCGGAAUUACUGGGCGUAAAGGGUGCGUAGGCGGCCUGCUAAGUUUGGUGAGAAAUCUCCCGGCUCAACCGGGAGGGUGCGCCGAAAACUGGCGGGCUAGAGUGUGGGAUAGGAAAGUGGAAUUCCUGGUGUAGCGGUGAAAUGCGUAGAUAUCAGGUGGAACACCUGUGGUGAAGACGGCUUUCGGGACCAUUACUGAAGGUGAGGCACGAAAGCGUGGGUAGCAAACAGG